This 69-nucleotide small nucleolar RNA is filed under the name Oryza sativa Indica Group (long-grained rice). Its description in RNAcentral is "Small nucleolar RNA R160". RNAcentral also lists the same sequence under 1 other name. The record is from RNAcentral. Lineage: Eukaryota; Viridiplantae; Streptophyta; Magnoliopsida; Poales; Poaceae.
AGCAAAACAAUUGAUUGUUUCUCAUGAAUCUCUAAGCAAGAUUCAGCCUUUUCAGGUUUUCUGCUUGCA